UUCAUGGCAUAGAAUUUGCUGCUUAGCUUAUACCUUUCUCUUCUCUUUGGUUUUGUGGCAAUGUAUAUUUUCUUUUCUUUGUAUAAAUAUUUUACUUCUAAAAAUCAAAUUAUAUUUUUUUCCUGUUCCUCAGUGAUUUCAAAGAGAUCCAUUUCAGUGAUUUUAACCUAAGAACUUGAAUAAAUUCCCCUCAUUUUUCUUUUCUAUAAAUCAUAAUAUAUAUUUCAAGGAAGUAAAUAUAGAUUGUGAAAAUGAAAAAAGGCAUUGCAGCUAAGUUCUUGUAGGUAGUGUAGCAGAUGAUGAGGUGAAAUCAUGCAUGGUGGAAGAAUAUAGGAAGAGCAGCAUGUCAUAUAUAUAUAGAUAUAUAUAUAUGUUGACAGAAGAGAGAGAGCACAAGCCAGGAUCUGCAAAAAGAGUGUUUGCUUUUGUUGGAAGUGUGCUUUCUCUUCUUCUGUCACCAUUUCUCUAACUCUAUCAUAUUCCCUGCUAUAUCAUCCCUUAAUUUCACAUCCAAAUCACAUGCUGUAAUUUCUUCUUCACCCUUCUCUUUUAUGUUGUUCCUUAUCUCUGUGCAUACAUACAUACAUACAUACAUACAUACAUACAUACAUACGUAUGUACGUACGUACAUACAUAAAUAUGAGAAUACAUGACAGAAAGUAUAAUAACAAAAGAAACUGAAAAGUUUUUAACUCUAGAAAGAUAGGGAAAUGGAACAAGGCUUUUUGAGAUGCUUUCUUGCAUGAAAUAAACCGUUGGAUUAUUUUGAAAUGCCUCUCAAAAUUCAAUACAUAUAUAUUAGUUUCACUACCAAUUUAGAAUUAACAUUUACCUUAUCUCUGAUCAUUACAUCAUUUUCUGUCUGAUUAUGCAUUAAGAACAAGAGUCCGUAUAUAGCUAAUGAGUGCUCCACUAACAUGACCCCAUAUGAUAUAGUAAGGCUAAAAGAUUAAUGUGAGAGGGUUUCUUUGUACCCUUGGUGAAGAAUCUCAAUUAGAUUUAUCUUUCAACUAAGAAACCCAUUUGGCUAUAUAUGGGCUUUAACCAGCCCCCAAAAGCAUGUUAGAACCUUGAUAAAGUAAUCCAUGAUUAAUGAAAAUCACCUUUUAGACUUAAAAAGGUUCUACAUUUCUAGCAUUACGUGCUAUGUUUGUUUGAAUGCAUCAGAAAAUAUUCAUUGCACCACCUUUGAUAUCGAUUCUUUAUGUUAUCAGUUCCAAGUACACGAAACUCAAAAGAUAUUCUAAACACCCCUUUUUUUAAUCUUUGUUUCCGGUGAUGGUUGGAUGUGAUGAGGGAUUGGAUGGAGGUGCACCAGCAAGGAAACAUCAUUCAAAUCAGUUAGAUGGAACAUCAAUACCCAAAAUACUUUACUGUAACAUGGAUCCAAAGGCCGAGACUUGUCACAUGGGCAGCUGAAAUUGCCUUAACUCUAUCACAUAAACCUCUGCAAGGGAAAGAAGUAUGAAGGUUGACAGUGAUACUGAGAGUAAAGAGUAGUCCCUUGAUUCCCUGUUUGUUUGUAUAUUGAUAUCUUCUUCUGCAGAAAUUUGCUUUAGUUUGAAUAAAGUUUGCUUCCACUUGUUUCAUUAUCAUUUUGCUUUUAAAUGAAACAUUUAGGUUGCUUUCAUGGGUUUGCAUAGGCAUUAAAAAUGAAGAGAGAUCAGAACUGGAAAUUGACCUAUAAAUAGAAGUUUUAAGGAAAA
Molecule: long non-coding RNA, 1706 nt
Organism: Gossypium arboreum
Lineage: Eukaryota; Viridiplantae; Streptophyta; Magnoliopsida; Malvales; Malvaceae
Exons: 2
Source: RefSeq, a predicted model, not a curated record